UAAAGCCUCCAACAAAUGCGGAACUACGUGAAAAAACCAAACCUACAUUUGAUUGGUGUACCCAAAAUUGACGGGGAGAAUGGAACCAAGUUGGAAAACACUCUUCAGGAUAUUAUCCAGGAGAACUUCCCCAACCUAGCAAGGGGAGCAAGGGGAGGGAUAGCAUUAGGAGAAACACCUAAUGUAGAUGAUGGCAGGCAGAAGAAUAAAAUUGGAUUCUUAUUUCACAUUAUGUACAACAUACACUCAAAAUGAAUUAAAGAUUUGGGUUGGGUUUUCAGUCACUUGCAACCAAAAGAGUCCUGACUAAAGUAGUAGUUGAAAAUGCAGCACUAUAGUUUGACAGUUACCUUUUAGAGUCCCCAUAAAAUAAACCUCUGUCAAUUAAUACGACUUCCCCUAUGCACACCUAAAUGUGCACCUUUCUUCAUAGAAAGGGUACUCGCAACAGCAGGCAUAAGCUUCACAUUUACACCGGUUCCCCUUGCCCCUCGAAGCCCAUGGGGGUAAUCUCAAGAAGCCCAGGUGGAUGCUAGCACACAGUGGGUUUGCAUCACAGCCACAGAACACAGGAACACCAAGCUAAAGGAAACCCCGUCUUUUACAAUGUAAGAAUAGUGCUAGGCUGCUAGGUCAAGACACAUUAAAUAAAAUAUGAAAACAGUGAAGAUAAAAGGUAAUCUCAGAACUUUAUAAGA
Molecule: long non-coding RNA, 698 nt
Filed under: Pan troglodytes (chimpanzee)
Lineage: Eukaryota; Metazoa; Chordata; Mammalia; Primates; Hominidae
Description: long non-coding RNA NONPTRT004781
Source: RNAcentral